UACGGGGGGGGCAAGCGUUGUUCGGAAUUACUGGGCGUAAAGGGCUCGUAGGCGGCCAACUAAGUCAGACGUGAAAUCCCCAGGCUCAACUUGGGAACUGCGUCUGAUACUGGAUGGCUUGAAUCCGGGAGAGGGAUGCAGAAUUCCAGGUGUAGCGGUGAAAUGCGUAGAUAUCUGGAGGAAUACCGGUGGCGAAGGCGGCAUCCUGGACCGGCAUUGACGCUGAUGAGCGAAAGCUAGGGGAGCAAACGGG
RNAcentral lists this ribosomal RNA (253 nucleotides) under uncultured bacterium. Its description in RNAcentral is "partial 16S ribosomal RNA". It matches the Rfam family "Bacterial small subunit ribosomal RNA", at positions 524 to 776 of the family's 1533-position model. The record is from RNAcentral.